CAAUCACCUCACUGCCUUGCUAAUUAGAACCUAAAAUGAUUGUACACUGAUACACUCUUGUAGUGAGUAAUUAAUGGAUGAUGGAAAUAAUUAAUUGGAUUAAUUAAGUGUUGUGAUUAAUUUAGAAAGUCUAAAGAAAUCAUAAAAGCGAUAAAAGAUCGUUUUGGGCUUAAAGAAACGUUCGGGUUUAAUUGGGCCCAUUGGGCCUAAACCCAUUGGGUUUUUAUUCAAGCAUUGGAUGACUAGAAAUAAAUAAAAGCCCAAAGCCCAAAU
This 273-nucleotide long non-coding RNA is filed under the name Malus domestica (apple). Its description in RNAcentral is "long non-coding RNA (MDOM_LNC005739)". Lineage: Eukaryota; Viridiplantae; Streptophyta; Magnoliopsida; Rosales; Rosaceae. The record is from RNAcentral.